UACGUAAGGUGCGAGCAUUAAUCGGAAUUAUUGGGCGUAAAGAGUGCGAAGGCGGGAGAGAAAGUCAACUGUGAAAUUUACCAGCUCAACUGGUAAGCGGCAGGUGAAACUUCUUUUCUUGAGGGUUGUCGGAGGAAAUGGAAUUCCACAAGUAGCGGUGAAAUGCGUAGAUAUGUGGAGGAACACCUGUGGCGAAAGCGGUUUCCUAGACAAACCCUGACGCUCUAGCACGAAAGCUAGGGGAGCAAACAGG
Molecule: ribosomal RNA, 253 nt
Filed under: uncultured bacterium
Lineage: Bacteria
Description: partial 16S ribosomal RNA
Rfam family: Bacterial small subunit ribosomal RNA
Source: RNAcentral